Molecule: ribosomal RNA, 183 nt
Filed under: Triticum aestivum (bread wheat)
Lineage: Eukaryota; Viridiplantae; Streptophyta; Magnoliopsida; Poales; Poaceae
Description: partial small subunit ribosomal RNA
Source: RNAcentral
AAGCUCAAAAUUCCUCUUUGUGUGAACAUAUUCAUUUGGUUUCUAAACAGAGGUGUGAUCUUGACCAAAAAUAACCUUUCACGCUGUAGUUGGCAAGGGAGCAAGACGUGCGUCUUUUGCCAACAUGACGAGUGUAUUAAACACCUUUUUCGUGUAAGUUUUCUUGUUCAAUGUGGGUCGUAG